This 1325-nucleotide ribosomal RNA is filed under the name Gibellula sp. RNAcentral describes it as "partial large subunit ribosomal RNA". It matches the Rfam family "Eukaryotic large subunit ribosomal RNA", at positions 50 to 1405 of the family's 3401-position model. The record is from RNAcentral. Lineage: Eukaryota; Fungi; Ascomycota; Sordariomycetes; Hypocreales; Cordycipitaceae.
GAACUGGGUUGUAUAGCAACAGGGAUUGCCCCAGUAACGGCGAGUGAAGCGGCAGCAGCUCAAAUUUGAAAUCUGGCCCCUGGGGCCCGAGUUGUAGUUUGCAGAGGAUGCUCUGGGCGCGGCGCCUUCCGAGUUCCCUGGAACGGGACGCCACAGAGGGUGAGAGCCCCGUCUGGUCGGACGCCAAAGCCCGUGUAGAGCUCCUUCGACGAGUCGAGUAGUUUGGGAAUGCUGCUCAAAGCGGGAGGUAUAUGUCUUCUAAAGCUAAAUACCGGCCAGAGACCGAUAGCGCACAAGUAGAGUGAUCGAAAGAUGAAAAGCACUUUGGAAAGAGGGUUAAAGAGCACGUGAAAUUGUUGAAAGGGAAGCGCCCGUGACCAGACCUGGGCCCGGCGAAUCACCUGGCGUUCUCGCCGGCGCACUUCACCGGGCACAGGCCAGCAUCAGCUCGACGCGGGGGACAAAGGCGGCGGGAACGUGGCUCCCCAGGGAGUGUUAUAGCCCGCCGCGCAAUGCCCCGCGCCGGACUGAGGUACGCGCACCGCAAGGAUGCUGGCGUAAUGGUCAUCGGCGACCCGUCUUGAAACACGGACCAAGGAGUCGUCUUCGUAUGCGAGUGUUGGGGUGCCAAACCCCCGCGCGGAAUGAAAGUGAACGCAGGUGAGAGCUCCGGCGCAUCACCGACCGAUCCUGAUGUUCUCGGAUGGAUUUGAGUAGGAGCAUACGGGGCCGGACCCGAAAGAAGGUGAACUAUGCCUGUGUAGGGUGAAGCCAGAGGAAACUCUGGUGGAGGCUCGCAGCGGUUCUGACGUGCGAAUCGAUCGUCAAACAUGGGCAUGGGGGCGAAAGACUAAUCGAACCUUCUAGUAGCUGGUUUCCGCCGAAGUUUCCCUCAGGAUAGCAGUGUCGUGAUCAGUUUUAUGAGGUAAAGCGAAUGAUUAGGGACUCGGGGGCGCUAUAUUGCCUUCAUCCAUUCUCAAACUUUAAAUAUGUAAGAAGCCCUUGUUGCUUGACUGAACGCGGGCAUUCGAAUGUAUCGACACUAGUGGGCCAUUUUUGGUAAGCAGAACUGGCGAUGCGGGAUGAACCGAACGCGAGGUUAAGGUGCCGGAGUGGACGCUCAUCAGACACCACAAAAGGUGUUAGUACAUCUUGACAGCAGGACGGUGGCCAUGGAAGUCGGAAACCGCUAAGGACUGUGUAACAACUCACCUGCCGAAUGUACUAGCCCUGAAAAUGGAUGGCGCUCAAGCGUCCCACCCAUACCUCGCCCUCGGGGUAGGAACGACGCCCCGAGGAGUAGGCGGACGUGGAGGUCAGUGACG